RNAcentral lists this ribosomal RNA (459 nucleotides) under uncultured bacterium. Its description in RNAcentral is "partial 16S ribosomal RNA". It matches the Rfam family "Bacterial small subunit ribosomal RNA", at positions 29 to 523 of the family's 1533-position model. The record is from RNAcentral.
AACGAACGCUGGCGGCAGGCUUAACACAUGCAAGUCGAACGCGAAAUCACCCUCGGGUGGUGGAGAGUGGCAGACGGGUGAGUAACGCGUGGGAACCUACCUAGUGGUACGGAAUAACUCAGGGAAACUUGGGCUAAUACCGUAUGUGCCCGAAAGGGGAAAGAUUCAUCGCCACUAGAUGGGCCCGCGUCGGAUUAGCUUGUUGGUGAGGUAACGGCUCACCAAGGCGACGCUCCGUAGCUGGUCUGAGAGGAUGACCAGCCACACUGGGACUGAGACACGGCCCAGACUACUACGGGAGGCAGCAGUGGGGAAUAUUGGACAAUGGGCGCAAGCCUGAUCCAGCCAUGCCGCGUGAGUGAUGAAGGCCCUAGGGUUGUAAAGCUCUUUCGGCGGGGACGAUAAUGACGGUACCCGCAGAAGAAGCCCCGGCUAACUUCGUGCCAGCCGCCGCCGUAA